UACGUAGGUGGCGAGCGUUAUCCGGAAUUAUUGGGCGUAAAGGGUGCGCAGGCGGCAAGAGAAGCUUAAGUUGAAAGCGUGGGGCUCAACUCCAUAAAGGCUUAGGAACUGACUUGCUGGAGUGCAGGAGAGGGCGAUGGAAUUCCAUGUGUAGCGGUAAAAUGCGUAGAGAUAUGGAGGAACACCAGUGGCGAAGGCGGUCGCCUGGCCUGUAACUGACGCUGAGGCACGAAAGCGUGGGGAGCAAAUAGG
This 252-nucleotide ribosomal RNA is filed under the name uncultured bacterium. RNAcentral's name for it is "partial 16S ribosomal RNA". It matches the Rfam family "Bacterial small subunit ribosomal RNA", at positions 524 to 776 of the family's 1533-position model. The record is from RNAcentral.